GCAGCCGCGGUAAUACGUAGGUGGCAAGCGUUAUCCGGAUUUACUGGGUGUAAAGGGUGUGUAGGCGGGACGGCAAGUCGGAUGUGAAAAUCUCGGGCUCAACUCGAGACCUGCGUCCGAAACUGUCGUUCUUGAGAGUCGGAGAGGUAAACGGAAUUCCCGGUGUAGCGGUGAAAUGCGUAGAUAUCGGGAGGAACAUCUGUGGCGAAGGCGGUUUACUGGACGACAACUGACGCUGAGACACGAAAGCGUGGGGAGCAAACAGGAUUAGAUACCCC
This 278-nucleotide ribosomal RNA is filed under the name uncultured Eubacterium sp. RNAcentral describes it as "partial 16S ribosomal RNA". It matches the Rfam family "Bacterial small subunit ribosomal RNA", at positions 511 to 788 of the family's 1533-position model. Lineage: Bacteria; Bacillati; Bacillota; Clostridia; Eubacteriales; Eubacteriaceae. The record is from RNAcentral.